UUGAUCCAACUUCUCUUUGGACUUGGGACCAAAGGAAAUUUUUGCCAAAGAUACUGGUUGAUGUUACAAGGCUACUGCAGUAAUUAACCAAUAUAAAUCUUCAAGCCUGAUUAAUUGAUGACUUAAAUGAGUAAACAUGGGAUCAGCUUGAUCAUUGAAAUUUGGGACAAUGUGCUUAAACAUGGUACGUUCUCAGAACAAUGGUGGCAAUGAACAUGGAGAAAAUACCAUUAGAGGUGGCUAAAGGAUAG
Molecule: long non-coding RNA, 251 nt
Organism: Telopea speciosissima
Lineage: Eukaryota; Viridiplantae; Streptophyta; Magnoliopsida; Proteales; Proteaceae
Exons: 2
Source: RefSeq, a predicted model, not a curated record